Molecule: long non-coding RNA, 450 nt
Organism: Solea solea (common sole)
Lineage: Eukaryota; Metazoa; Chordata; Actinopteri; Pleuronectiformes; Soleidae
Exons: 4
Source: RefSeq, a predicted model, not a curated record
AGUAACAAAUCAAUGCAGUCCUCUUCUCUAACUAACCGACCACCUGUUCUCUCUUUUCCAGGAAAACUUCCUCUCCUUGUCUAAUCCCCCUUAACCUCACCAUAAAACAUAUCGUCAUGGUUAACCAUAGUUGGUUAUGGUUAACCAGGUUUUGGUCUCCAUGAGGACUACUGGUCCUCACAGCUGCAGGAGGAGCAGCUGCCGCCGCCAUGCCGCCAUUUUGCCUUCGGCUGGAGAGCGCGCAACCUUACGCGCACUGCUGAAGUGUCCUUGAGCAAGACACUGACCCCACGCUGACCUUUAGGACUCCUCUGGAAGAAGAGAUCUUGUAUCUGCAAUGGGACCUUCCUGCAUGGCUAAAUAAAGGAAAUCCCCUCUGCAGUGAUGCCUUAAGAGGACGCCUGGUGCGUAAAAAAGGUGGAGAUGAGUCCUCGAGACAGAAAAAUCAAG